ACAAAUAUCCGAAUUUGAGGAAUCAAGAGAAUCAAGAAUUCCAUCUGACACGAGUUUCUGAAUUCUUUGAAUGGAUAUGUGACCCAAACAUUUGUGCCAGAGUGAUAUAGAAUUCAAUUAGUUAAUUUUCUUUUGGUACUACUUGAACUUGUAUGCAAAGUUUCAUUAUGUGAGGUUAUUAUAUCAACCAAAUAUAGGCUAUUAUAUGUUGAUAA
Molecule: long non-coding RNA, 215 nt
Filed under: Nicotiana benthamiana
Lineage: Eukaryota; Viridiplantae; Streptophyta; Magnoliopsida; Solanales; Solanaceae
Description: long non-coding RNA (NBEN_LNC007417)
Source: RNAcentral